GACGAACGCUGGCGGCGUGCCUAAUACAUGCAAGUAGAACGCACAGUUUAUACCGUAGCUUGCUACACCAUAGACUGUGAGUUGCGAACGGGUGAGUAACGCGUAGGUAACCUGCCUGGUAGCGGGGGAUAACUAUUGGAAACGAUAGCUAAUACCGCAUAAUAUUAAUUAUUGCAUGAUAAUUAAUUGAAAGGUGCAAUUGCACCACUACCAGAUGGACCUGCGUUGUAUUAGCUAGUAGGUGAGGUAACGGCUCACCUAGGCGACGAUACAUAGCCGACCUGGGGGGGUGGUCGGCCCCACUUGGACUGGGACCCGGCCCAGGCUCCUACGGGGGGCAGCAGUAGGGGAUCUUCGGCCAUGGACGGAAGUCUGACCCCGCCCCGCCGCGUGAGUGGAGAAGGUUUUCGGAUCGUAAAGCUCUGUUGUAAGGGAAGAACGGGUGUGAAGGUGGAAAGUUCACACUGUGACGGUAUCUUACGAGAAAGGGCCGGCUAACUACGUG
Molecule: ribosomal RNA, 505 nt
Filed under: uncultured bacterium
Lineage: Bacteria
Description: partial 16S ribosomal RNA
Rfam family: Bacterial small subunit ribosomal RNA
Source: RNAcentral